This 404-nucleotide ribosomal RNA is filed under the name uncultured bacterium. RNAcentral's name for it is "bacterial SSU rRNA". It matches the Rfam family "Bacterial small subunit ribosomal RNA", at positions 976 to 1381 of the family's 1533-position model. The record is from RNAcentral.
UGGGUUUGACAUGUUUAGGACCGCCCCAGAGAUGGGGCUUCCCUUCGGGGCCUUUUCACAGGUGCUGCAUGGCUGUCGUCAGCUCGUGUCGUGAGAUGUUCGGUUAAGUCCGGCAACGAGCGCAACCCAUGUCGUUAGUUGCAAACAGUUCGGCUGUGCACUCUAGCGAGACUGCCCGUGUCAAGCGGGAGGAAGGCGUGGACGACGUCAAGUCCGUAUGGCCCUUAUGCCCAGGGCUGCACACGUGCUACAAUGGCCGGAACAAUGGGACGCAAUGCCGCGAGGCGGAGCAAAUCCUCAACACCGGCCCCAGUUCGGAUUGGAGUCUGCAACUCGACUCCAUGAAGUCGGAAUCGCUAGUAAAGGCGUAUCAGCAAUGACGCCUUGAAUACGUUCCCGGGUCU